GACGGAGGGGGCAAGCGUUGUCCGGAAUCACUGGGCGUAAAGCGCACGUAGGCGGGACGGUGCGUCGGUGCUGAAAGCGCCAGGCUUAACCUGGCGAGGCGUGCCGAUACGACCGACCUCGAGGCAGACAGAGGGUGGCGGAAUUCCGGGUGUAGUGGUGAAAUGCGUAGAGAUCCGGAGGAACGCCGGUGGCGAAAGCGGCCACCUGGGUCUGACCUGACGCUGAGGCGCGAAAGCGUGGGGAGCAAACAGG
This 253-nucleotide ribosomal RNA is filed under the name uncultured bacterium. RNAcentral's name for it is "partial 16S ribosomal RNA". It matches the Rfam family "Bacterial small subunit ribosomal RNA", at positions 524 to 776 of the family's 1533-position model. The record is from RNAcentral.